UACGGAGGAUGCAAGCAUUAUCCGGAUUUAUUGGGUUUAAAGGGUCGCAGGUUGUUUGAUAAGUCAGUGGUGAAAGUCUGUCGCUUAACGGUAGGAUUGCCAUUGAUACUGUUAGACUUGAAUAUGGAUGAGGUAGGCGGAAUGUGUAGUGUAGCGGUGAAAUGCAUAGAUAUUACACAGAACACCGAUUGCGAAGGCAGCUUACUAAUCCAUCAUUGACGCUGAGGCACGAAAGCGUGGGGAGUCAAACA
RNAcentral lists this ribosomal RNA (251 nucleotides) under uncultured prokaryote. RNAcentral's name for it is "partial 16S ribosomal RNA". It matches the Rfam family "Bacterial small subunit ribosomal RNA", at positions 524 to 775 of the family's 1533-position model. The record is from RNAcentral.